This 492-nucleotide ribosomal RNA is filed under the name uncultured bacterium. Its description in RNAcentral is "partial 16S ribosomal RNA". It matches the Rfam family "Bacterial small subunit ribosomal RNA", at positions 29 to 507 of the family's 1533-position model. The record is from RNAcentral.
AGUGAACGCUGGCGGUAGGCCUAACACAUGCAAGUCGAACGGCAGCACAGUAAUAGCUUGCCCUUACGGGUGGCGAGUGGCGGACGGGUGAGGAAUACAUCGGAAUCUACUUUUUCGUGGGGGAUAACGUAGGGAAACUUACGCUAAUACCGCAUACGACCUACGGGUGAAAGCAGGGGAUCUUCGGACCUUGCGCGAUUGAAUGAGCCGAUGUCGGGUUAGCUAGUUGGCGGGGUAAAGGCCCACCAAGGCGACGAUCCGUAGCUGGUCUGAGAGGCUGAUCAGCCACACUGGAACUGAGACACGGUCCAGACUCCUACGGGAGGCAGCAGUGGGGAAUAUUGGACAAUGGGCGCAAGCAUGAUCCAGCCAUACCGCGUGGGUGACGAAGGCCUUCGGGUUGUAAAGCCCUUUUGUUGGGAAAGAAAAGCAGCAGGUUAAUACCCCGCUGUUCUGACGGUACCCAAAGAAUAAGCACCGGCUAACUUCGUG